GAAAGACGACGUGCAGUGUCUGAUUUCCUUUAGGGGAGUUGCUGAGUCAGCCCAGGCCAGAAGGGGUGGCAGAGAUCAUCUGCCCCAAGAACGGCAGCGAGCGCGUGAAUGUGGCUUUGGUUUACCCACCUACACCGACUGUGAUCAGCCCUUGUUCCAAGAAGAACGUUGGUGAGAAGCACAGAAACCAGUGACAUUCGUGGCUGUGGAAUUUUCAUGGCAUUAACAGAGCAUGGGACCGACUGGGACAUCUUCUGCCCCUCACGAGCCUGCCAUGCUCCCAAGCGCCUUCUGGGGCCCCAGAGUGAAACCGUGCACCGCAUCGGGGUGCUUGCAGAGGACCCUUGGAGGGGUUGGAGGGGGCUGGGAAGAUGGGGACAAACAUGGAGCAAAUGUUUCACAACCUGAACCUCAGAACUGUGAUCCUCCAAGGAGAGAGCUACUUGAAGAAAAGGGAAAAAAAAAGUUAA
RNAcentral lists this long non-coding RNA (470 nucleotides) under Rattus norvegicus (Norway rat). RNAcentral describes it as "long non-coding RNA NONRATT012038". The record is from RNAcentral. Lineage: Eukaryota; Metazoa; Chordata; Mammalia; Rodentia; Muridae.